AGAGUUUGAUCCUGGCUCAGGAUGAACGCUAGCGGCAGGCCUAAUACAUGCAAGUCGAACGCAGGGUAGCAAUACCUUGAGUGGCGCACGGGUGCGUAACGCGUAACCAACCUACCUACACCUGGGGGAUAGCCCGCCGAAAGGGGAUUAAUACCGCAUAACCCACUGAAGCGGCAUCGCUUUACUGGUAAAGAUUUAUUGGGUGUAGAUGGGGUUGCGUGCCAUUAGCUAGUUGGCGGGGUAACGGCCCACCAAGGCGACGAUGGCUAGGGGACCUGAGAGGGUGAUCCCCCACACUGGCACUGAGAUACGGGCCAGACUCCUACGGGAGGCAGCAGUAGGGAAUAUUGGGCAAUGGGCGAGAGCCUGACCCAGCCAUGCCGCGUGCCGGAUGAAGGCCUUCUGGGUUGUAAACGGCUUUUCUCAGGGAAGAAAAAGAGGAUGCGUCCUAAACUGACGGUACCUGAGGAAUAAGCACCGGCUACUCCGUGCCAGCAGCCGCGGUAAUACGGAGGGUGCAAGCGUUGUCCGGAUUUAUUGGGUUUAAAGGGUGCGUAGGUGGCCCGUUAAGUCCGGGGUGAAAGCCCACUGCUCAACAGUGGAACUGCCCUGGAUACUGACGGGCUUGAGUCCAGACGAGGUUGGCGGAAUGGAUGGUGUAGCGGUGAAAUGCAUAGAUACCAUCCAGAACCCCGAUUGCGUAGGCAGCUGACUAGGCUGGUACUGACACUGAGGCACGAAAGCGUGGGGAGCGAACAGGAUUAGAUACCCUAGUAGUCC
This 780-nucleotide ribosomal RNA is filed under the name uncultured bacterium. RNAcentral's name for it is "bacterial SSU rRNA". It matches the Rfam family "Bacterial small subunit ribosomal RNA", at positions 8 to 796 of the family's 1533-position model. The record is from RNAcentral.